Molecule: non-coding RNA, 211 nt
Organism: Plectropomus leopardus (leopard coralgrouper)
Lineage: Eukaryota; Metazoa; Chordata; Actinopteri; Perciformes; Serranidae
Source: RefSeq, a predicted model, not a curated record
ACUUCCUGGACAAAACUGGCUCUCACGGCUACGACAUGUCCACGUUCAUCAGACGCUACAGCCGCUAUCUCAAUGAGAAAGCCUUCGCCUACAGACAGAUGGCUUUUGACUUUGGCCGAGUCAAGAAAGGGGCUGAGGGAGUGAUGAGGACCAUGUCAGUGGAGAAGCUGUUGAAAGGGAUGCCCACCCUGCAGAGCCAGAUCGACGCACU